AUUUUGCAAAUAGCAACCAAUAGCAACGCGAUAAUAAAUGUAAGCGAAAGUGUCACGACACAGGUUAUGCACUGUUUCAGAGUCGCACAUCGCACAAUGCCGUCGUGUUCGUUUAAACAGUGUAAAAAUACGUCACGAAAUAAUAAACAUGUUAGGCAUUUUUCAUUUCCAAAAAAUGAAGAAAUGAUUGCGCAGUAGAAAAGACUUUGCAAAGAAAAUGUCAAUGCAAAGAACGCUCGGGUUUGUUCUCAACAUUUUAAGACCUCGCAAUAUAAAGAUCGGUCAUUUUUACGUGAGAUACUACCUAUACAGGGUGUCCCAGACCUACCGUAUCACCGGUUAAUGGUAGAUUCCUGAGGUGAUUCUGA
Molecule: unclassified non-coding RNA, 368 nt
Filed under: Ooceraea biroi (clonal raider ant)
Lineage: Eukaryota; Metazoa; Arthropoda; Insecta; Hymenoptera; Formicidae
Description: probable 26S proteasome non-ATPase regulatory subunit 3, transcript variant X1
Source: RNAcentral